CUCAUUAAAUCAGUUAUAGUUUAUUUGAUGGUCUCUUUUGUCUUUUUUUACCUACUUGGAUAACCGUGGUAAUUCUAGAGCUAAUACAUGCGCAAGGUCCCGAGCGCGGGGGGGCAGGGCUUCACGGCCCUGUCCUCGCACGCGCAGAGGGAUGUAUUUAUUAGGUUAAAAACCAGCGGCAGGGGGUCAGCAAUGGCCCCUGCCAAACACUCCUGGUGAUUCAUAGUAACUCUUUCGGAUCGCAUUCAUG
RNAcentral lists this ribosomal RNA (250 nucleotides) under uncultured Acanthamoeba. RNAcentral describes it as "partial 18S ribosomal RNA". It matches the Rfam family "Eukaryotic small subunit ribosomal RNA", at positions 97 to 279 of the family's 1831-position model. The record is from RNAcentral. Lineage: Eukaryota; Discosea; Longamoebia; Acanthamoebidae.